ACUUCUCUUUCUCUUUCUCUUUCGCUUUCUCUUUCAGAUUCACCAAAUUUCAAAAAAUUUCUCUCUUCCACCAAACCUUGCCGUACGUGGGACACUAGCGUCAAAUCUCCAUGAUCAUGGCUACAAAUGGAAGCUUCUGAGGCCCACACGACCACCACCAUCGGUGCUUGCCGGCCUGACCUUCUCGUCUCCCUGUUUUCUCGUUCUCUCAAGUCCAGCUGUGGCCAAGCUUCUGGUUGCCCCUUCUCUGGCAGUGCUUCUCAGCGGCAUCACCAGCGUUGGUGGCCGUCGGGAGGCACACUAGUUGGAACUUUAUGAGCAGGCAGGAGGCACACUAGCUGGAAGUCUGGAACUUAAUGAGCAGGUCAUGCCGCUUACGGUUGUCAAAGAACUUGAUCUUGAAGCUUACAAGACCUUCUUUUUUUUCUUUUGUGGGAAUUGUGUAUUAUGAAUUUAUGAUGAUGGGAAGAUUGUUUCUUGUUAACAAAGUGUAUAUUUCAACAAAACUGUUGUUGUAUGACCUUGUGGUCAAAGUGUACAUUCUAAUAAAGUUCUGUUCAUUUUUAGAUCAAA
This is a long non-coding RNA of Quercus lobata, 573 nucleotides long. RefSeq lists it as uncharacterized. NCBI's taxonomy places the organism in Eukaryota, Viridiplantae, Streptophyta, Magnoliopsida, Fagales, Fagaceae. The record is from RefSeq and is a predicted model, not a curated record. The transcript has 2 exons.